This 253-nucleotide ribosomal RNA is filed under the name uncultured bacterium. RNAcentral describes it as "partial 16S ribosomal RNA". It matches the Rfam family "Bacterial small subunit ribosomal RNA", at positions 524 to 776 of the family's 1533-position model. The record is from RNAcentral.
UACGGGGGGGGCAAGCGUUGUUCGGAAUUACUGGGCGUAAAGGGCUCGUAGGCGGCCAACUAAGUCAGACGUGAAAUCCCUCGGCUUAACCGGGGAACUGCAUCUGAUACUGGAUGGCUUGAGUUCGGGAGAGGGAUGCGGAAUUCCAGGUGUAGCGGUGAAAUGCGUAGAUAUCGUAAGGAAGACCAGUGGCGAAGGCGAAUCUCUGGACAGUUACUGACACUGAGGCACGAAGGCCAGGGGAGCAAACGGG